Long non-coding RNA from Symphalangus syndactylus (siamang), 665 nucleotides. RefSeq lists it as uncharacterized. The record is from RefSeq and is a predicted model, not a curated record. Lineage: Eukaryota; Metazoa; Chordata; Mammalia; Primates; Hylobatidae.
CAGCAUCAUAAAUGCGAAUAGAACUGAAACUCAAAGUCUUUCACGUCUGCUUAUGUGGAUCACAAAGCCCAGUAGAAUAUUAGAUCAUUAAUGAAAUCUGUAUUUUAUGGAUUCCAGAAAAGUGUGUUCUUUAAAGUUUGUGAAGAUGUGCACAGAGAUAAUCACACCUAACUUUUGGGAACUGAAGCAAUAGACUGAAAUUACCACAUAAAUAGAAUUUCCACAAUACACUUAUAUGCCAAAACCUUAAAAAGUUAAUUUUAAUUGUACAAGAUGGGAAUAUUUUGAGACGCGAAUGAAAUUUUGGUGCUGUGACUCAUAUCGGGGGACCUCCCUUAGGAGAUCAAUCUCCUGUCCUCCUGCUCUUUGCUCCAUGAGAAAGAUCCACCUACAACCUCAAGUCCUCAGACAGACCAGCCCAAGGAACAUCACACCAAUUUUAAAUCAGAUCUUCUUGGCUCAGCAGCUGAAGACUGACACUGCCCAAUUGCCUUGGAAGCUUCCUGGACCAUCACAGAUGCUUUAGGUAACUCUUACAGUAGAAGACCCAACCAGUGAGAAUCAUCCCAUUUUAAUCAGUUGUUGACUCCUUCAAAAGAUGGUCACUAGUAAAGCAGCAGCAGCACCACUGAAGAGUCUGCUUCCACUAUCACCAAAUUUGCUGU